Molecule: ribosomal RNA, 271 nt
Filed under: uncultured Streptococcaceae bacterium
Lineage: Bacteria; Bacillati; Bacillota; Bacilli; Lactobacillales; Streptococcaceae
Description: partial 16S ribosomal RNA
Rfam family: Bacterial small subunit ribosomal RNA
Source: RNAcentral
UACGUAGGUCCCGAGCGUUGUCCGGAUUUAUUGGGCGUAAAGCGAGCGCAGGCGGUUAGGUAAGUCUGAAGUUAAAGGCUGUGGCUUAACCACAGUACGCUUUGGAAACUGUUUAACUUGAGUGCAAGAGGGGAGAGUGGAAUUCCAUGUGUAGCGGUGAAAUGCGUAGAUAUAUGGAGGAACACCGGUGGCGAAAGCGGCUCUCUGGCUUGUAACUGACGCUGAGGCUCGAAAGCGUGGGGAGCAAACAGGAUUAGAUACCCUGGUAGUC